RNAcentral lists this ribosomal RNA (667 nucleotides) under uncultured bacterium. Its description in RNAcentral is "bacterial SSU rRNA". It matches the Rfam family "Bacterial small subunit ribosomal RNA", at positions 335 to 1015 of the family's 1533-position model. The record is from RNAcentral.
ACUCCUACGGGAGGCAGCAGUGAGGAAUAUUGCACAAUGGGGGCAACCCUGAUGCAGCGACGCCGCGUGGAUGAUGAAGGCCUUCGGGUUGUAAAGUCCUUUUGCCACUGACGAGAACGGACGGUAGGUGGCGAAUAAGCCCCGGCUAACUACGUGCCAGCAGCCGCGGUAAAACGUAGGGGGCGAGCGUUAUCCGGAGUUACUGGGCGUAAAGGGUGUGUAGGCGGUGGCAUAAGUGGGGUGUGAAACACUCAGGCUAAACCUGGGAGGUGCGCCUCAGACUGUGCGACUAGAGUGGGAUAGAGGGGCGUGGAAUUCCGGGUGGAGCGGUGAAAUGUGUAGAGAUCCGGAGGAACACCAGAGGCGCAAGCGGCGCCCUGGGUCCCAACUGACGCUGAAACACGAAAGCUUGGGGAGCGAACGGGAUUAGAGACCCCGGUAGUCCAAGCCGUAAACGAUGCAGACUCGGUGUCCACCUUCGCAAGAGGGGGGGCGCCACAGCUAACGCGAUAAGUCUGCCGCCUGGGGAGUACGGUCGCAAGACUAAAACUCAAAGGAAUUGACGGGGGCCCGCACAAGCAGCGGAGCGUGUGGUUUAAUUCGAGGCUACACGAAGAACCUUACCCAGGUUUGACAUAGGUGUGGUAGCGAAGCGAAAGCUAAGCGA